This 537-nucleotide ribosomal RNA is filed under the name Phomopsis sp. GRNJ-1. Its description in RNAcentral is "eukaryotic LSU rRNA". The stretch from base 185 to 338 matches the Rfam family "5.8S ribosomal RNA". The record is from RNAcentral. Lineage: Eukaryota; Fungi; Ascomycota; Sordariomycetes; Diaporthales; Diaporthaceae.
AGGGAUCAUUGCUGGAACGCGCCCCAGGCGCACCCAGAAACCCUUUGUGAACUUAUACCUUACUGUUGCCUCGGCGCAUGCUGGCCCCCUCGGGGCCCCCUGGAGACAGGGAGCAGGCACGCCGGCGGCCAAGUUAACUCUUGUUUUUACACUGAAACUCUGAGAAAAAACACAAAUGAAUCAAAACUUUCAACAACGGAUCUCUUGGUUCUGGCAUCGAUGAAGAACGCAGCGAAAUGCGAUAAGUAAUGUGAAUUGCAGAAUUCAGUGAAUCAUCGAAUCUUUGAACGCACAUUGCGCCCUCUGGUAUUCCGGAGGGCAUGCCUGUUCGAGCGUCAUUUCAACCCUCAAGCAUUGCUUGGUGUUGGGGCACUGCUUUUAACGAAGCAGGCCCUGAAAUCUAGUGGCGAGCUCGCUAGGACCCCGAGCGUAGUAGUUAAACCCUCGCUUUGGAAGGCCCUGGCGGUGCCCUGCCGUUAAACCCCCAACUUUUGAAAAUUUGACCUCGGAUCAGGUAGGAAUACCCGCUGAACUUAA